Molecule: ribosomal RNA, 477 nt
Filed under: uncultured bacterium
Lineage: Bacteria
Description: bacterial SSU rRNA
Rfam family: Bacterial small subunit ribosomal RNA
Source: RNAcentral
AAGAAAACUGGCGGCAGCAUACACAUUCAAGUCGCACGGUGAAGUGCCUUCGGGCGCGGAUCAGUGGCGGACGGGUGAGUAACGCGUGAGCAAUCUGCCUUUGACUGGGGAAUAACAGAGAGAAACUUCUGCUAAUACCGCAUAACGCAAGAGAGUCGCAUGGCUUUUUUGCCAAAGAUUUAUCGGUCAGAGAUGAGCUCGCGUCCGAUUAGAUAGUUGGCGGGGUAACGGCCCACCAAAUCGACGAUCGGUAGCCGGACUGAGAGGUUGAACGGCCACAUUGGAACUGAGAGACGGUCCAGACUCCUACGGGAGGCAGCAGUGGGGAAUAUUGGGCAAUGGGCGAAAGCCUGACCCAGCGACGCCGCGUGAGGGAAGAAGGUCUUCGGAUUGUAAACCUUAGUUGGCAGGGAAGAAGAAAGUGACGGUACCUGCAGAGAAAGCCACGGCUAACUACGUGCCAGCAGCCGCGGUAAU